AUGCUGGGCCUCUCCUCCUCCAGACAUCCCCUGCCCCCGCCGCUGACCCUGGCCUGUCUGGCAGCCCAGACAACCUCCCCCUCCUCCUCGGCCCCCUCCCACUGGCACGGCUCACCCUUGACCCCUCAAAGCCCCGCAGCCCCAUCCCUGCCCCUCCCCCUCCCCUCCGGCCAGACGUUAACUCUUCCGCUGCCGCAGGCACUCCAAAGUCAGACAGUCUUCCUCCACCUCCCCCGAGGGCUCGGGCAGCUCGCCCCUAGUCUCCUCCAGCCAGGAUCCUACCAGCCCCAGCCCCCAUCUCUGUCCUCCCUCUUGAAUCUAGGAGGUGUCCCCAGAUUUCUCCAGCUUCUGGACCCCGGAAUUCAGGUCCCAGGCCCCCUCCUUCAAGGAUUCUGGAGUCUGAGCUCCCAGCCACCCCCCCCCCCCACCCCCAACUCCUCCUCCAAGAACCCAGAAAUCCAGGCCCCCGGGUGCUCCUCCCUCAGGGACCCAGGAGUCCAGGCCCCAGCCCCCCAACCUCCCUUUCCGCAGACUCACGGCUCCCGCGGCUCCCGCGUCGCAGGGAAGGGUCUUCUCCGCCGCCCCGGGCCCGUAGGCCGGGCCCCAACGCCGCCGAGCGCUCUCCAUCCUCUCCCCGCCUUCGCCGCCCGGCGGCCUCUCCCCUUCCUCCCGCUGUCCCCACCAUCCUCCUUCCCUUCUCCCCGACUCCCUCUGGCCGGCGCCUCCUCCCCGGCUCUGCGGCCCGGGGCUCCCCCUCCCCAGACCCCGCCGGCGGCGCGGCCGUGGGACCAGCCCCCUCCCCAGGGGGCCCCCCGCCCCGCCCCUCCCCACCGCCCAGCCCAGUCCGGCCUGGCUUCCCCCCUGCCCCGGAGCUGGCCCAGGUCCAGGGGAAAAAAUUCCAUCCAGCCCCGGGGAGGAGGAGCGGGGCGGAGGAGGGAGCGGGAGGGGGAGGCCGGGCCAGGGGAGCCUGACGCAGAGGAGGGAAGGGACAAAAGAGGCCGGGAGGCGGCGGCGGCCGGCGCUCCCGCCUCGCCCGCCCUCCUCCCUCGGCCAGUCUCGCUCCUCCCCGGCUUCCCUAGGUCCCCUCCGCCUCUCCGCCCUGUCCUGUCCCUCGCUGGCCUCCCUCCCUCUUCUCUCCUGCGCCUCCUCCUCCUCGCUCUGUGCGUGCUCUCUCGCUCUCUCGCUCCCUCUCUCCCUCCCUCCUCCCUCUCUCUCUUUCUCUCUCUCUCUCUCUCUCUCUCUCUCGCCCUCUUUCCCUCCUCCUCUCUGCUCCUGUCAUUCUUGGUUGCUUUUGCUACCUCUCUGUCUCUUUCCGUCUGUCCUCCCUUAUGUCUCUGCACAUCUGUCCUUCCUUUCGCCCUCUCCCGGUCUCCAUCCUCUUUCUCUGCCUGUGGGGCUUCUGUGUCUCCCAUUUAUUCUUCCCUUUUCUCUGUUUCUCUCCCUCCCUCCCUGUCUCUGUGUCUCUGUUCUUCCUCUCUCUCGCUUUCUCCUCCCCUCUCUCCCCCAACCAGUCAGGGUCUGCCCUUCUCUCUCUCCCCCUUCCUGCUCUCCCAGCUUCCCCCCCACCAGCUUUGGUCUCUCCACCCCCCCACCCCCACCCACUGGGGACUCAAAGGUGAAUCAGACCUGAAUCUGCCCUUGCAGAUGGAGCUCACAGUCUGA
Molecule: long non-coding RNA, 1662 nt
Filed under: Papio anubis (olive baboon)
Lineage: Eukaryota; Metazoa; Chordata; Mammalia; Primates; Cercopithecidae
Description: lncRNA (ENSPANG00000046528.1)
Source: RNAcentral